RNAcentral lists this ribosomal RNA (253 nucleotides) under uncultured bacterium. Its description in RNAcentral is "partial 16S ribosomal RNA". It matches the Rfam family "Bacterial small subunit ribosomal RNA", at positions 524 to 776 of the family's 1533-position model. The record is from RNAcentral.
UACGGAGGGGGCAAGCGUUAUUCGGAAUUAUUGGGCGUAAAGAGCUCGUAGGCGGUCUGUUGCGUCGGCUGUGAAAACCCGAGGCUCAACCUCGGGCCUGCAGCCGAUACGGGCAGACUAGAGUUCGGCAGGGGAGACUGGAAUUCCUGGUGUAGCGGUGGAAUGCGCAGAUAUCAGGAGGAACACCGAUGGCGAAGGCAGGUCUCUGGGCCAUUACUGACACUGAGAAGCGAAAGCAUGGGGAGCGAACAGG